AAGCCCGGGGCUCAACCUCGGAACCGCAUUUGAAACUGGCAGGCUAGAGUCUUGUAGAGGGGGGUAGAAUUUCAGGUGUAGCGGUGAAAUGCGUAGAGAUCUGAAGGAAUACCAGUGGCGAAGGCGGCCCCCUGGACAAAGACUGACGCUCAGAUGCGAAAGCGUGGGUAGCAAACAGGAUUAGAUACCCUGGUAGUCCACGCCGUAAACGCUGUCUACUUGGAGGUUGAGGUUUAAGACUUUGGCUUUCGGCGCUAACGCAUUAAGUAGACCGCCUGGGGAGUACGGCCGCAAGGUUAAAACUCAAAUGAAUUGACGGGGGCCCGCACAAGCGGUGGAGCAUGUGGUUUAAUUCGAUGCAACGCGAAGAACCUUACCUACUCUUGACAUCCAGAGAACUUUCCAGAGAUGGAUUGGUGCCUUCGGGAACUCUGAGACAGGUGCUGCAUGGCUGUCGUCAGCUCGUGUUGUGAAAUGUUGGGUUAAGUCCCGCAACGAGCGCAACCCUUAUCCUUGUUUGCCAGCACGUAAUGGUGGGAACUCCAGGGAGACUGCCGGUGAUAAACCGGAGGAAGGUGGGGACGACGUCAAGUCAUCAUGGCCCUUACGAGUAGGGCUACACACGUGCUACAAUGGCAGAUACAGAGGGCAGCGAAGCUGCGAAGUGGAGCGAAUCCCUUAAAGUCUGUCGUAGUCCGGAUUGGAGUCUGCAACUCGACUCCAUGAAGUCG
Molecule: ribosomal RNA, 731 nt
Filed under: uncultured Salinivibrio sp.
Lineage: Bacteria; Pseudomonadati; Pseudomonadota; Gammaproteobacteria; Vibrionales; Vibrionaceae
Description: bacterial SSU rRNA
Rfam family: Bacterial small subunit ribosomal RNA
Source: RNAcentral